AUCCAGCUGACGAGUCCCGAAUAGGGGAAACGCGCGUCCUGGAU
Non-coding RNA from Schistosoma rodhaini, 44 nucleotides. NCBI's taxonomy places the organism in Eukaryota, Metazoa, Platyhelminthes, Trematoda, Strigeidida, Schistosomatidae. The record is from Rfam.